UACGUAGGGUGCAAGCGUUGUCCGGAAUUAUUGGGCGUAAAGAGCUCGUAGGCGGUUUGUCGCGUCUGCUGUGAAAUCCCGAGGCUCAACCUCGGGCCUGCAGUGGGUACGGGCAGACUAGAGUGCGGUAGGGGAGAUUGGAAUUCCUGGUGUAGCGGUGGAAUGCGCAGAUAUCAGGAGGAACACCGAUGGCGAAGGCAGAUCUCUGGGACAAAACUGACGCUGAGGAGCGAAAGCGUGGGGAGCAAACAGG
RNAcentral lists this ribosomal RNA (253 nucleotides) under uncultured bacterium. RNAcentral describes it as "partial 16S ribosomal RNA". It matches the Rfam family "Bacterial small subunit ribosomal RNA", at positions 524 to 776 of the family's 1533-position model. The record is from RNAcentral.